ACKGCUCAGUAACACGUGGACAACCUAACCUAUGGAGGGGGAUAACCCCGGGAAACUGGGGAUAAUACCCCAUAGACUAUGGAUGCUGGAAUGCUCUGUAGUUGAAAGGUCCGCCGCCAUAGGAUGGGUCUGCGGCCGAUUAGGUUGUUGUUGGGGUAACGGCCCAACAAGCCUGUAAUCGGUACGGGUUGUGGGAGCAAGAGCCCGGAGAUGGAUUCUGAGACACGAAUCCAGGCCCUACGGGGCGCAGCAGGCGCGAAAACUUUACAAUGCGGGAAACCGUGAUAAGGGAACUCCGAGUGCCCGUAAAAUCGGGCUGUCCAUCUGUUUAAAUAACAGGUGAAGAAAGGGCCGGGCAAGACCGGUGCCAGCCGCCGCGGUAAUACCGGCGGCUCGAGUGGUGGCCACUAUUACUGGGCUUAAAGCGUUCGUAGCUGGUUUGUUAAGUCUCUGGGGAAAUCUGCCGGCUCAACCGGCAGGCGUUCCAGGGAUACUGGCAGACUAGGGACCGGGAGAGGUGAGGGGUACUCCAGGGGUAGGAGUGAAAUCCUGUAAUCCUUGGGGGACCACCUGUGGCGAAGGCGCCUCACCAGAACGGCUCCGACAGUGAGGGACGAAAGCUGGGGGAGCAAACCGGAUUAGAUACCCGGGUAGUCCCAGCCGUAAACGAUGCGCGUUAGGUGUAUCGGUGACCACGAGUCACCGAGGUGCCGAAGAGAAAUCGUGAAACGUGCCGCCUGGGAAGUACGGUCGCAAGGCUGAAACUUAAAGGAAUUGGCGGGGGAGCAC
This 789-nucleotide ribosomal RNA is filed under the name uncultured Methanomicrobiales archaeon. Its description in RNAcentral is "bacterial SSU rRNA". It matches the Rfam family "Archaeal small subunit ribosomal RNA", at positions 85 to 879 of the family's 1478-position model. Lineage: Archaea; Methanobacteriati; Methanobacteriota; Methanomicrobia; Methanomicrobiales. The record is from RNAcentral.